AAGAGAAAUGAUGAUAUUUAUCCAUACGGUUCUGUUUUUCAUGAUGAAACAAACAUGCACUACCAUCUGAUCUCUC
Medicago truncatula (barrel medic) is the source of this 76-nucleotide small nucleolar RNA. NCBI's taxonomy places the organism in Eukaryota, Viridiplantae, Streptophyta, Magnoliopsida, Fabales, Fabaceae. The record is from Rfam.